Molecule: long non-coding RNA, 17096 nt
Filed under: Equus caballus (horse)
Lineage: Eukaryota; Metazoa; Chordata; Mammalia; Perissodactyla; Equidae
Description: lncRNA (ENSECAG00000056303.1)
Source: RNAcentral
GGAUCUGCCGCUAGAGGCGGGGGCCCAAAGCCCCCCGCUGGGCCCGGGCGAGGAUGGGCGGGCAGGAGGCGGAGCGCAGCGCGGCGCUGCGCUGGGCGGCGGGAAAGGGGCGGGGAGGACAGCUCAGGCUUAAGCGGGCAGAGGGACGGUGGCAGAACCUGCGGGCUAGGUGGGAGGCUCACCCACAGGGAGGAAGGGAAGCGAGGACCGCCGCUGCUGAGGAGCGAGGAGACGCUUGGAGUCCAGGGGUCAGGCCGCUGCCACCUCCUCCUGCAGCGGAGACAGCACAGCCAGCGGGCGCACUGGCCGCAACGGCAACCCUCCGCGCAGGUGGGCACCCCCGAGCGCGGCGCUCUGCCCCUUCUCGGACCGCCGCGGGCCGGAUGCCCUCCUUUCCAGGCCACUGAGUUCGGGGGCGAGGGCUGGGCAGGUCUGGGGGUAGGAGGAAUGUGCACGGCUCCUUGGUGUGCACGCUUGUGCGCGCGCGCUGUGCUAGGUGGGGAAGAGGUGCGGGAAAGCAGCCUCCCUCAGGAUUUACUCCCUCGGGUCUCGCUGUCCCCACCCCCACUCUCUUCUGACCAGCAGAGCUCUCGAGCGGCUUUAGAGAACUGCGACCCCCUCCCUCGUCCGCAAUCUCGGUGGUGUGUGCACUUCGCCCCCCUCUUCACAAUCCACACCCAGCAACCAUCAGGACGCCCCCUGCUCUGUAGGAACCUUGGGAGAAGAGAGAGUGGUGGCAAGACCAGCCAGGGUGUGUUCGGGGAAGGCAGGAGUUGCUGGAGUAUUGUCUGCCGGGGACGGUGCCUGAGCCCGCGCGCUCCCUCGCGCUUUCAGGGCCAGAGUUGGGGGCGGGGGGCGGGCGCGGGGGGUUUGCUGAACUUAUCUCCGAAGGCUGACUGUGCACAUGCACUUGGCGACUUGUGCACGUUUGGACGAGGACUUAAUGGAGGCACGUGGGAGCAGGAUCGGUCGCUGGCGGGCCCCCAAAGAGCCUCUUGGCUCUUGGGAUGGCCCAGCGCGUGUUCUGGGGUGGGAAGGAAGGGAGAGUGUGCGUGUGUGUGAAUGUCCGUCCUAGGGAGGAGAAGGAGGAGAGUGGCUCGAGGAGACUUGAUUUUCUUGGAUUUGCUGCCAGUCCGUAAACCAAACCAGGCUUUCGAGGCGCUAAAGUAAAUUACCGGUGGCAGUGUAGAAGCCAAAACGGGAGCUUCCAGAAGUGGUUUCUGAAAAAUAAGAGUGAAUAUACAUGAGUAAGCAAGCACAAGAAUCUGAAAAACCACAGAAUUCUGGGCCGGAGCUAAUGGUGCUCUCACAGGGAAGCUCAAGUUAUUGUUCUGUUGACUGUAUAAGUGUCAGGCAUCAAAAUGGCCGGUAAAGAGAAUGAAGCUUUCUCUUUCCUUGGAGGUGCAUGCGUUCAGCACAAUACUGGAAUGUGGUGAUAUCUUGUGAUUUUUGACGUUCUGCUUUUACAGCGGAGGAGGGAUUUGUUUAGCCCCUGCCAACAAGGAUGUAAAACAAAAUCAGAUGCUGUUCUGGAAGCUUUAAAAGAUCAAAUUGGACACUUCCCAGUAGAAAGCAAAUUGGGAGCUCUGAGUCAGAAAGUAUAGACUAAACUAAAGACUAAAAGAUUAAAAGGCUCCAUGGAUAUAGAAUGUCAGGAAAGCUCUUGGGCAUUUAGGAACAUGGAAGUUUGCACUGCAUGGGACUUAGGUUCAUUAUCUAACUCAAGAAACUGGGAAGUAACUACUCAUCCCCCAACGUGUCUAAGAGGAAUAGGGCCUCGAAUCUUCUAAAUUAGAAAGGAAAAGAGCAAAGUUGAGGUUAUAACCCUUUCUUGAAUUAUAGCAUUCACAUUAUACAAACGUAAGGUGCUUUAGAGAUAUUUUAUUUUUGAGGCAUAACAUACAUACAGUAAAAUGUGUAAAAUACAUUAAUCUAAAGUGUACUCCUCAAUGAAUUUUUACAUGUGUAUACACCCGUUUGACCACUAUCCAGGUCAAGAUGUAGAACAUUUCCAGCACCCUAGGAGAUUUUCUACUCUUUCCCCUUCUGGUCACUUUCAUUCCCCUUCCAACCUGAAGGUAACCACAUCAUGAUUUUUUUUUUCACACUGUGAUUUUUUUAAAACUCCAUCCACUAGUUUUGUCUGCUGUUAAGCUCCAUAUAAAUAGUAUCGUAUGGAAGGGAUUUUUGUGUCUAUCUUCUUUCACAUAAUGUAAUGUCUAUGAGAUUCCUCCAUGUUACUGUGUGUAUUAGUUCAUUCUAGUCUGUUGUUGAGUAGUAAUUCCAUUGUAUGGAUAUACCACAAUUUGUUUAUCCAGUCUCCUGUUGGAUCUUUGGACUCUUCCCAUUGUGUGGCUAAUAUGAAUAAAGCACUGUGAACGUUCUUGCUUAUGUUUUUUUUUUUUUUUAAAGAUUUUAUUUUUUCCUUUUUCUCCCCAAAGCCCUCCGGUACAUAGUUGUGUAUUCUUCGUUGUGGGUUCUUCUAGUUGUGGCAUGUGGGACGCUGCCUCAGCGUGGUCUGAUGGGUAGUGCCAUGUCCGCGCCCAGGAUUCUAACCAACAAAACACUGGGCUGCCUGCAGCGCAGCGCGCGAACUUAACCACUCGGCCCCAGGGCCAGCCCCGUUGCUUAUGUUUUUUGGUGGACAUGCCCACUCCUUUCUCUUGAGUAUAUACGUAUGAAUGGAGUUGCUGGGUCAUAGAGUAGGCUUAUAUUUAGCUUUAGUAGAUAUUUCCAAACAGUAUUCCAAAGUAGUUAUACCAAUAUAAAUUCCACCAGUAGUGUACAACAGUUCCAGUUGCUCUACAUUUCCACUUGGUUCUGUCGGUCUUUUUAAUCUUAGCUAUUUUGGUGAGGGCAUAGUAGUACCUUCUGUGGGUUUUUAAAAAAUUUUAAUUGUGGUAAAAUAUAUAUAAUGUAAAAUUUACCGUUGUAAUAAUUUUUAAGUGUAUAGUUAGUGGUGUUAAGUACCUUUACAUUGUUGUGUAACCAUCACCACCAUUGAUCUCCAGAAUUCUUUUUAUCUUGCAAAACUGAAACCAUACCCAUUAAACAAUAAAUCCCCAUUCUCCCUUCCUUCAGCCCCUGGCAACCACCGUUCUGCUUUCUGUCUCUGUGAAUUUGAUUACUUUAAGUACCUCAUACAAGUAGAACCAUAGAAUAUUUGUUCUUUUGUGACUGGCUUAUUUCACUUAGCAUAAUGUCCUUAAGAUUCAUCUGUUGUAGCAUGCGUCAGAAUUUCCUUCCUUUUUAAGGCUGAAUAAUAUUCCAUUGUAUGAAUAUACCACAUUUUGUUUAUCCAUUUGUCAAUCGGUGGACACUUGGGUUGCAGCCACCUUUCAACUAUUGUGAAUAAUGCUGCUAUGAACAUGAGUGUACAAAUAUUUCUUCGAGACCCUGUUUUCAAAUUUUGGGGGUAUAUUGCUAGAUCAUAUGGUAAUUCUGUUUUAAUUUUUUGAGGAGCCACCAUACUGUUUUCCAUAGUGGCUGCACCAUUUUACAUUCCCAACAGUGUACAAGGGUUCCAAUUUCUCCACAUCCUCACCAACAGUUGUUAUUUUCUGUUGUGUUUUUGUUUUUUUUGAUAGUAGCUGUCGUAGUGGGUUUGAGGUGGUCCUUAUGGUUUUAAUUUGUGUUUCCUGGUGAGUAAUGUUGUUAAAUGCCAUUUCAUAUACUUAUUGACGUUUGGAUAUCUUUUUGUGAAAUUCCUGUUAAAAUCUUUUGCCCAUUUUUGAAUUGAAUUGUUUCUUUACUUCUUUGUCAGAGUUCUUUUAUAUUCUAUGUAUGAGUCCUUUGUCAAAUAUAUGUACAGUCAUGUGCUACAUAAUGAUGUUUUGGUCAACGAUGGACCACGUAUACAAAGGUGGUCCCAUAAGAUGAGUACCAUAGAGUCUAGGUAUGUAGUAGGCUAUACUAUCUAGGUUUGUGUGAAUACACUCUAUUUGCACAAUGAUGAAAUUGCCUCAUGACGCUUGACUGUAUUACAAAUAUUUUCUCCCAGUCUGUGGCUUGCCUUUUCACUGUCUUCAUGGUAUCUUUUGAAGGUUUUUAAUGAAGUCCAGUUAUCAGUUUUUUUCUCUUAUGGCUAUUGCUUUUUGUGUUCUAUUUAUGAAAUCUUUGCCUACUUUGGAGUUAUUUUUUUAAAAUUCCCUUUUAGUUACUGAAAAUAUAUAAAGGCAGUCUGUUUGGAAGAUGAAGUAAAUUAACUAUAAGCAUAUUUUCAAAUAAGUGCCCUAAGAAUGAAAGUUGAUGCUGUUCCUUGCUGCAGCAGGUUCCAGAGAAGGAGUUUGGAGAAGCCUGUUUUUCAAUAAGAUACGUGGACACAGAUGCUGUUACUCAAGUGGUUCCCGUUUCUGUCUCCCCCAGACACUGAUUAUGUCCUCAGGGCCCCUCUAGAGUGGAGGAACCCGAGGGAACAGCCUGGUAAUGACUUGACUAGAGGAAAGAAUGUGGCAAAAUGGAUUGAUAUCCACUUUUCCUUAGUUUGUAACCCAUAAUUGCUGAAUGAUCCUUCAUCUCCCCUCUUGCAUCCCUAAGGAGAGUUGCUGCUGUUUAGUGCUACUUCUUUUCUUUGCUUUUGAAACAUCAAUGUCCCUCAGGAUUCUGCCAUUAAUUAGCUUUUUCUCUUCUCCAUCUACAUCUUUUCCUCGAAUGCCCUGCAUUCACAUUCAUUUUCAUGUCUUGAGCUGUCUCUCCCCCUCUGCCCUGUGUUCUAAAGAUUCGCCAGGUCUUUAUCUGACUUGUGCCACCUGUCCCUCAACAGAAGGUCCAGAUUUGUAUCCUUAUCUGACUCCUGGACAUCUCCCACUAGAUAUCCCAUAGGUGCCUUUAUAAAAAUCACGUGUUCUUCCUCUCCAGUCUCCUCUUCUGCUUUCCUGCCUUAAUAUAUUUGCCGUUAAUCUGGGAUCCCAAAGUAGAAAUCUUGGCACUGUCCCCAAUCUCCCCACACAAUUAUAUCACCCCCACAGCCCAUAUUUAGUUGGUUGUCAAGGCUGCUGGGUCUUUCUCCUGUCUCUGAAAUAUCUUUCAAAGGCAUCUUCUCUUCCCUAUAUUCACUACCUUUUGGUUCAGGUCCCCUUUAGAAUUGUUGGAAUAGCCUCCCUGAUUUUUACUCUUGCCUCUAAUCCUCUGCUUCAUAUCAGCUUUCUUUUCCUAAAACACAGAUUUAAUCAUGUCAUUUCCUACUUAAAAUGAUUUGUAGCUCUCCACAGCCUACAAGAGGUAUUCAAAUCCGUUAAUAUAAUUUACAGUAUGACACCCUUCAUUAUUUGCCUUCAACCUGCUUUUCCUGCUCCAUCAUCUGCCAUUUCCUCCCCACACUCCAUCUGUCCUAAACUAUUUUUCAUUCUUAGAACAUUAGAACAUUCCUUGAGCUGUUUCCUGUAUCUGUGCUUUUGCAUAUGCUGUUUGUUCUACUUCUGAUGUCCAUUCCUGUCCACUGGUGAUGUACUAUUUUUUUCUUUAAAAAGCAGCUCAAAUGUGGCUUCUUCUUUGACUGAGCCUUCCUAUCCUCUAAGUAGAUGUUGUUAUUCAUACUUCUUUUAAUGUAGUUAGAAGAGAUGACUCCAUAAUUGCAGGCACUAUUGCAUAUUAAUCUUUGUACCCCCAAUGACUAUAGAGAGCACUACUUCAAAUAUAGAAGGCAUUUAGUAAAUGUUUACUGAAUGAAUAAUUCGUAAAGAAUCCAUUCCUUUAUCAGUUGGCUUUUGCUGCUUAACAAACCACCACAAUAUUGGUUUGGUUAGCAGUUUAAAACAACCAGCAUUUAGUUAGCUUUUGAUUCUGUGGGUUGGCAAUUUGGGCAGGAUUCAGCUGGGCAGUUCUUUAGAUCUGGGCAGGUUUUCUACUGGGUGGGGUGGGAGCUGGCUCUUCUAGGAUGGCCUCAGCUCCUCUCCACAUGGUUUCCAAUCUAUAACCAGGCUAGCCUGGGCUUGUUCACACUCUGGGUGGCGGGGUUCUAAGAGAGAGUGCAGAGGCAUGCAAGGCCUCUUGAGGCCUAGGCCUGCAACUGGCACAAGGUUACUUUCUCUGAAUUUUGUUAGCCAAAACAGGUCACAAAGCCAGCCCUGAUUCAGGAGGUGGGGAAAUAAAUAGAUUGCAUCUCUGGAAGUGAGGAGCUGCAGUCAUGUUGCAAGGAGCACAGAGAAAGGAGAGUAAUUGCAGCCAUUUUUAUGAGUAAUCUACUGCACUUACCUAGGAACAGGAAUAUAAGACUAGACCAGGCUUAGUCCAGAGGGUUGAUUCCACUUAGGUCACCAGCAGGGAGGACAGUUUUGAUCCUGACUAAUUGUGUCUAAUUGCAUCUAAGAUGAGCCCAACCAAGAUGGCCCCAUGGUUCCUAGUGAUACUGACCCUAGGCUUUUAGGCUGUCUGUGUAAUAGAAAGUGACAAGAGGCCAAACCAAAGUCUCAGACAAGGUUUUACCGGGACUUAUGCUCAAGCACAAGGGAGACAGCACAGGAGAAGUGGCUCUCUGGCUGGCUCCUGGAAGGGAGUCAUCUGGAGUCUUUUAUGGGGUGAAGAGAGCGGACUGGCAUCAUGAUUCCCCUCUGUUAGAGGCGUUCUGCUUCCCUCUUCCUGGUGGUAUCUUCUUUGCGUGUCUUCGCAUGCUGCCUCAGGGUUGCAGUCCCUGCCCCUGCCCAGUAGGUCCAACAUGACGGCGUUGCUCACUACUGCCACCCCAGGAAGGUCAUAUAGUGGUCAUCUCCAGGCUUUGUGUGCAUCCGGGAGUCAGGUCCACUGCUUGGGAGAAGUUUUGCGGUUGGAAUGUUGCACAUCUUGACUUCAAAAAUAGCUGGGCUUGGAGGUGCCAAACCUUGUGGUUAAGGGUGAGGGGCAGAGUCCUGUCUCUAUUCAGGCUCAUUAGCAUCCUCCUUUGGCCCUCCUCUUAAGUCCUCUGUCCUUAUCCUUUUAUGCAAAGCAUAUUUAAGACAGCCCCAGUUUCAUUUUAGCCUUGAUGAAGUACCAUUGGUGUUGUGGGAUGGGGAAGUUGCUCCAGUACUGGAAAAAGGAGAAAUCUCUCUCUCUCUUCAUUCUGGAAGCUGCUGUGGAUACCCUUGGGCAUUGGGGACCUUCUCAUUAUGGAGCACCCUUGAGUAUUUACAUUGAUUUGUCUCUAGCAUCUGAUUUAAAAGGCAUUUUGGGGAAAGGAGAAUGUCAGGAAAUGAAAAGAGACCUGAUUGAUUGGGGCUGUUCAUCUCUGUUCUCCCUCAGCAUGUGUGGAAAAUGAAGGGAUCCUCCUACUGAGAAACACUAGUAGUUUACCCAGUCUUAAUGUCUGUGUCCUUUUCCAGCUGUUACAAACUAUUCGGAGUGGAAACGUGAAUUUAAAUGUUUCUGAUUACUACCUAUUAAAGAUUCCUUUUUAAGGACUAGAGUACAUUAGGAGGAAGUAUAGUUACAAUAUACACGUAGGUGCUUAGUUGAAAUAUACGUGAAGUGUAUAUUAAUAAGUAUAUUUAGUAAAACAUACAUGAAGUGACCCUGAUUUUCCAGAGAUAGUAUAGUAACCGUGGAUAGGUUUGAGUUUUUCCAGAACUUGGUGUUAGCACACAUCUGUAUGUUUUAGUAGAGCUGUUAGAAGUAGCUAAAGAAAACAGAUAGAAAUUUUACCUCGUUCAAGUCCAGUUCUACUAAUCCUAGAGAUGCAGAUGAACUGUGAAGUGACCAAAAGGCAUAAAAGAAUAGGAGGCACUUCAAGAGCUUUAAGACCCCUUAUGACCUCUCACGUGUUGUCCUCCUGCCUGUGCCACUCCUAGAUUGGCCAUUGACACAGGUAGAGGCAUGAAAAAUCCACAACCUGAGUAAUCCUCUGUCAAAAUAACAGAUGUGCUACUAUUUAUGAGCGAAAAUAGGACUUUCACUUAUGUUAAAAAAUAUCUUCUUGAAAUUUAUUCUUAUGGCAUGCUUUCUUUUAUUUGUCAAAAACAAAAGAUUUAGUUCAUAUCUCACUUCCUAUGCCCUAUUUAUAGAUCAGUUCCUUAUUGAAUCUCUGUAUGUGCUGUUUAUUUAAAAUGACAACACAAAUUCAAAUGGCCAUAGUUCAAUAUUUUUAGAAGAUCAUGACAAUUCUGGGUUACCAAAUCAGUAUUUUUAUCUAUUAAUUUAUUAAAUCAAAGAAUUUUAACAGAUUGAAAUAGGAUACUAAUUGAAAUUCAGGGUCUUUUUUUCCCUUUUUUUUCAGUCCUUUGUUGUACUUUGGAGGGGAGAGAGUCCCGGGUCAGCUCACCCCGCCAUUUUGCUCCCUGACCGGAAAUAGGAUACUAAUUGAGAUGCAUUUGCAGGUACUCAUGCUUUGUUUUUCUAAUUUAGAACUAGUUUUAUAUUAUUGACAGUAGUGUAAAAUAUUUUAUAUACCAUAUUCCCAACGUGUUGCAUAAUGUGAAUUCUCCUUAAGUUAUAUUUACUGAUGUAUAAAUACAUAGUGUGUAUGUAUUACAGUUGGCCCUCUGUACUGUAGUCUAUAUGUGCUACAGUUGGCCUUCCAUAUACGGGAAUGUGAAACCCACAGAUGCGGAGGGUUGACUCUAUUCAUAGUACUAUGCCAUUUUAUAUAAGGGACUUGAGCAUGCACAGAUUUUGGUAUCUGCAGGGGUUCCUGGAACCAGCCUGCCAUGGAUACUGAGGGACGACUGUAUACUCUGGAGAGAGAGAGAGAGGGAGGGAGAGAGAGAACCCAUACAUCCUCUAGCCUAAGGUUAAAAUGCUAGCAGAAGCUAUAUGAAAAUCAUGAGUAAGUGUAGAGCAGAUGUUUAUUGAAACAGCCACUUAGGACAGUGACUUGAGUUCUAUCAAGGAUUACUGUUUAAGAAGUAUUUACAUUGAGGAAGGUUGUGAUAGUGAAAAGACUGAUGAAUUCAAGGUGGUAGUUUUAGAAGGAGCCUCUGGUGCCACACUGACUAGUGUUAAUGGGCACACUGUUGGAUUUUAAAAGGGGAUUUAAAAACAUGCACAUUUAAGAUGGACUAGAUGGUGAUCAGUCACUCUCCUAUCUUUUGAAUACUAAUCCCCAUGUUGGAAAAUAUUUAAAAUGAUUUGCCUGUUUUGUAAAUGCUAUGGUUUUGUUCCUGAUUAAUUAUGAUAGCAAAAUUUUCUUAUUGUCGUGGCAUUGUCAGUAUUUUAGGUUUGUGAAAGGAGUCUUGGGCACAGAGGUUGGCCUCCAGGGCUGCAGAGGCUGCUUUGCCUGUCUGCUAGCCCAGCUGUGUGUGCAGGAGGGUCUUGGACCAUGUUUUGACGAUGAAAACAAAAACAAAACAUGGCAGGUAUUUAACCAGGAAAAUAUAAUGGAGGAAAACAAUGGAGUCUUAAUGAACUUCCUAAAAUGGGAGAGGUAUGAUUGCUUUAGCUAAUCAUGAUGCCUCAGAUUUCUGCAGGAGAAAGAACAGAGGAUAUUUUUCCUUAAAACAGCUUGUGAGAACUAAAAAACCAUGUGUACUGAGGGGACACCAUGUCCUCUGGUGAUAAGGAAUCUAUGCAGAGGAUCAGCAAUUGUUUUCUCUUUACCUCCAAAGAUGGCAUUGUGGGAUCUUUUCCCUUAGUCAUCAUCAUGUAUGAUGAUACUAUGCAUGUUUUUACCCAUGUUAUGGAAAAAGGCCUUGAGACUCACAGAAAUAACUUGACUGCUGUGGCUUAAGUGAUAGUCCCUGGUCACAGCUUUCUCUACCUCUUUGACACAGUGUUUUGGCUCUGCCUGUGAACCUCAAGUGUAGCCAUAGAGUGAGUGACUGAGUGAGUGAGUGAAAGAGAGAGAGAGAGAGAGUGUGUGUGUGUGUAUAAGGACUCUUCCCAGUGAUGAUAUUGGGUUCCCACAUCUACAUGGUCAGAGUAAAUGAGUACCUAUCUAGUGUGUUGUAUUUUGAAUCACCAGCAGUAAUUUUCCAUCGCUAUCAGUAAAAAUGUAUAUUCAUAAAAAUCAAAACAUUUCAUCAAGAACUUUGACCUUGGAUUGGAUUUGACCUUGGACUGCCCUGGUGCUGGAAUCAGAAGGCUGGACUAGAAAUGAGGAAGCUACUGUUCUUGUUCCCAGUCGGCUUCUAAAUAGCUGUGGGGGCUGAGGACAUCAUUCUUAUUGUUUUGGGCUUUAGUUUUGUCAUCUCUAUGCAAGGGGACUAUUUAUCUCUAAAGCCUUGUCUUAUUCUGACACUCCAUCAGUCUUAAUACCAUGGUCGUAUUUUCCCCCUGAUUUUGGUGAACUCUACCAUAAAACUAUUAUUGGGAUUUAAAAAUUUCAAUCACGUAGAAUUUAUGUUCCAUUAUUAUAAGAUUAAUGAAAUGAGAUCAGUGGCUAGGUGGAAACCAGGAGGCAGUUAUCUAUCAUAGUAUAUUCAAAUUUAUGUUAUUGUGGAGUUUUCCUGUAUUUGGUCAAGAGCAGAGUGACUAUAACCCUACUAAAGAGUGUAAACUUUUAUGUUGAGUUAGGGUGCCCCUCUCCCACUCUUUUCUUUAUUAUAACCUCCCCAAGAAUAGGAAAGCUAAGUUGUAUUGGACUAAGUUUGGGGGCUGCUACAUGACUUCCUCAGUGCUUGCCCUGUUUUUGUACUAAGCAUUUGACAUUCACAAGUCCAGGUGUGGUUUUCCCUAUAUUCAUCUUGCUUUGGUCUGUUGAGCUGCUUGAAUUUGAAGGUUGAUGUCUUACAUCAGUAUUGGAAAGUUCUCAGCCAUUGUCUUUUCAAAUAUUGUUUCUGCCCUGUUCUGUCUCUUAACUUCCUUCUGGCUCUCCAAUUACAUGACUGGGAGACCCUUUCAUGUUUCUUAUGACCUGUUUUAUUUUUCCUUUCCCUUUUUCUCUUUGGGUUUUAAUAUGAGUGUCUUCCAUUAACCUUUAUCUUCACGUUUACUAAUGCUAUCUUUUGCUAUGUCUAGUCUGCUAUUGAACCCAUCUAAUGAGUUAAUUUUAGAUAUUGCAUUGUUCUUUUGUUUUUUUUUUAAAGAUUGGCACCUGAGUUAACAACUGUUGCCAAUCUUCUUUUUUUUUUUCUGCUUUUUCUCCCCAAGUCCCCUCAGUACAUAGCUGUAUAUUUUAGUUAUGGGUCCUUCUAGUUUUGGCUUGUGGGAUGCCGCCUCAGCAUGGCCUGACGAGUGGUGCUGUGUUGGUGCCCAGGAUCUGAACCAGCAAAACCCUGGGCUGCUGAAGCGGAGCAUGCGAACUUAACCACUCAGCCAUGGGGCUGGCCCGAUAUUGUAUUUUUCUAGGAUGUCCAUUUAAUUUUUUAUAGAGAUUCUAGUUCUCUUUUGAAAUUCUCCAUCUUUUCAUCCAUUUUCUCCUUUUUUCUUCAACUAAUUAACCCGUUAUUUUAAAGGUCUUGUCUGCUGAAUCCAAUAAUGAGGAUCAUCUGUGAGUCUGCAUCCAUUGUUUUUUUCUCUUGAAUAUUAGUUACAUUUUCUUGCAGCUUUUCUCAUGUCUAAUAAUUUUUUAUUUUAUACCAGACAUUGUGUAUGGACGAAUCUUACUGGUUUUAAAUUAUAUCAUCUUCCAGAGAGGAUUUCCUGUGUUAGGUAAAUAUAGUGAGGAGCUGAUUACCUUCACCCCUUUCAGGAAUUGAGUUAAGUCAAGGCCAGGUUGCAGUUUUAGGGAGACUCAAUCCAGCUAAGGUUGUCUGUGCUUCUCAGGCAGGGCUCUCCUGGGCUUUUGAUUGAAACCCUGGAGGUUCUUUGUCUUCUUAACCCUGAAAAACUGUAGGAGAUUAAAUUUUGCCCUUUGGCAGUCUGGAGUUUAGCCUGUUGUCCCCUUAAUUUCAAAUUCUUGCAGCUGUUUUAGGAGAAACCUGGUUGUGUAUUUGUGGCACCACUCCUACUUCAGUAAAAAAACUUCAUUUCCUAAGCACUGAAACUGGAGGCUUCACUUUGCCUUUUAGAAAUCCUCAGCCUAAUAUCUCAGUCUCCCUCUCACAGCUCCAGCACUGAACAAAUGGGAGCAUUUCCCAUCUGUCACAUUAGCCUUUGUGGGGUCACCAGAAAGCUUUGCUGGUUUCUUUUCCUCAGUAGAAUCCUUUCUCUUGGCAAGUCACAUUAGUAUGAGCCCAAAGUUCUCAAGUGCCCUGAGGGAAGAAAACCAGAGUUUAUCUGCCCUCGGCAGAAGGGCUCCCUUCCUUUGACAUUAUUGUCCUUGAGUUCCUUAUAGUCUAACAGAAGCCUAAUGCUUUUUUUUCUGCAUAAAACAUUUAAGAUGGGAUCUGCAAUUUCAUCAUAUACAUUAUUUUCAAGUCCUCGUCUAUUCUCAUGGAGUCUUCUGUUUAAACAUUUUUCAGCUUCAUGAUAAAAGCAAUUUUGGUAGUUAGCACCUGUUGACUCAUUAUAAUAUUUCCAAAGGAGGAAAAUGGGAAUCCUUAGACAAUAUGGUCCUCGUCAAAAUAUUUUCACUGCAUUUUUUUCAGUUUUUCAAUUUUAAUUUGUCUAGAAAACACUUCGUAGGUAGAAGAUGGUAAUGAAGGCAGUUUCAAUUGGUUUAAAACUCUCAGAUGAAUUCCUUAUUGGACACAUUUACUUCUCUUUUGUACUAAAAUGAGGCAUGACUGUCAUUACAAACCCUCCCAUUUGUGAAGAGAAUUUGCUCCAGAGAAUUCUAAUACCAUUAAUAGGCAGCAUCCAUAUGGUUUGCACAUGUAAAAAGGAGAGAAUGAGCCCCUCAAAUUAUUUAAAUUGGAACCAUUUCAUCGUUAAGGAGCAAUUCUGUUGUUAACUUUUAUUAGAAGCUGUGUAAGACCUGGCCGGUGCUGAGAGCCCAGGGCUGGUGGGAGCCCUGAGUUCUAGUGUUAGCUCGGCCUCCCAUAAGCCAUUUGUCCCAGGAGAGGUCUCUGUUUUCUCAAUCCUAAGAAUGAGGACAUUGAAAUAGUUGAAUGCUAAUCCUUUCCAUCUCUGCCCUUUGGAUUCCAAUCAUUCCUCACUUGGAAACUAAAGUUGUACUUGCAUUUCGAUAAAUGAUAUUGCCAGAAUCAAUUAAAAGAAUAAAACUAUGCAAAUUUCUUUUGACUCGUACAUUUUCUGUUUGUGAUGCCAAAUGGGAAAUCUUAGACACAGUGUGUCAGUGUCUAAAAAACAUUUAAAAAAUAGUGUACUUGAGUCUUGAGUACCUGGAUUUAAGUGUCAGGUUUGUCAUUCAUCUGCUUUGGGGCCUUGGGCACUUCAUCAACCUCUGUAAGCCUCAGUUUCCUCAACUGGAAAAUGGAUAGGAUAGUGUAGUGGCCUUACCUAUUUCAUGGGGCUUUGUGAGGAUCAACUAAAACAUUUCAUGUGUGAAGCCUCUUUAUGAACAGUAAAGAGCUGUAAAGACAUCAGUUAUCAUUAGGACUGUAAUGAUACAGCCCUUGUCAGCAGUAACCAUCUGUUUGUUGUGGCUGUCGCUAUCAAAAGUGAGAUGUGAAAACAGCCCAAGGGUAUUUAAAUUAUAUACACCUUGACUUUUGUUCCCACUUCACUUUUUUGUAGGGGGGUAGGUGAGCUGACAUCGUGUUCAAGGUAUAAACUCUCUCCUUGAAGUCAUUGAAAUGCAGACAUGGAAGGGACAGUGGGAUUAUUUUAGCAAAUCCUUCUCUUUUAAAGAUGCAGUUUAGGAAGUUUAACUGACUUAUCUGAGGUAGUAAGGCUGCUUCAAGGUAAAACCACAACUAAGACCAGUAAUUGUCCUCUGUUUAAACCCUGAUUUGUGAAGUUACUUCUACAGUUUUGGUCAAGGACCAAAAGAGAGAUUUCUUUUGUUUUCAAACAUUGGGAUUCUUCAUUUCUCUCUCCUUAACCUCCGAACAUCUUUCAUACUACUUUCUCUCCUACUUCACAGACCCCACUCCCAUUCUGGUGGUGGUACCUCUCCUCAGUCCAGAGAAGAGGGUCCUUCACCUCUCAUCCCAGGCGGCCCCCCACAUGUGCUCUUGGUUCCGACCCUGUUUGCCUCCUACGGGGUUUAUGCUAGCAGUUAUCCUAUCUGUGUCCUAUAUUAUCUUUCUUUCCCUUUCUGCUGGUUCUUCUCCUUGGCCGAUGAAGGUGCCCAAGCUUGUCAUAGAAUUUUUUUACUUCACUCUACACACUGCUUCUUUUCCAUACUUAGCUACUGGAAAGAGAAAUUAGUAAGCAGAGGCACUGCUUUCUCAACUUCCGUUUGUUCUUUGUCUUCAGUUUUUUUAGCGGUAAAAUACACAUAACGUAAAAUUUGCCGUCUUAACAAUUUUUGCAUAUACAGUUCAGUAGUAUUAAAUAUAUUCACAUUGUCGUGCAACCAUGACCACCAUCUAUCUCAGAAGUGUUUUCAUCUUGCAAAACUGAAAUUCUGUCCCCAUUAAAACAACUCCCCAUUGCCCCUUCCCCUAAGCUCCUGGCAACCACCAUUCUGCUUUCUGUCUCUAUGUUUUUUCCAUGCAUUCCUUAUACAGUAUUGUAUAAGCACCGUGACUGGUGCUUGGUGGUAGCCCAGAAAAGUUACCUCCCUCCCUCUCUCCUUCCCUUUCCUCUCUCUUGUCCCCUGCUCCAUGCCUCUCCCCCGAUUUGUUGCAGUUUGUUUUCUGGCCUCUCUUGGGGACAACUUGCUGUCCAGCUUCUGGGCACUUUUUCUUCCUUUUUUGGCGUCUAUGAUCCCUUCUCAGGAUCGAGGCUGGUUUCCUCCUCCCCUCCUAAUUUUUUAAGUGAUGCUCUUCUGCAGUGGAAUUCAGUAGCAACCUGUAGUCACCUACCCGCUCUGCCUCCAUCUAUGCUCAUCAGCUGCUUCCUCACACCCUUGACACACCAUGCAAAGCCUCCAUGUCUUCAGCCUCUUGCUUUGCUUUUCUUCCGUAAACAUUCAGCCAAAAGGCCUUGCUCACUGAAGCCUUCAACACCAACCUCAGUUGCAGUUCCACAGAACUUUGGAAGUCUCUCGUGUAGCCCUGAUGUCAAUGUUACUAGGAUUCCACUUUGUCCCCCCACCUCCCCCAGUACUGAGUGCUUCAUUGGCAGGGACUGUGGCUGAUUCUUCUCUAUCAAACUUGGCCCUCACAGUAGGCCCUCAGUGAUGAGUAAAUGAAGGAGAGCAUUCAUUCAAGUACGCUUCCUGUAGUUAAGUGCUUUUCUGAUUUAAGAGAUUGAAUGUUGAUCAACCACGUGGAGCAUCAAAGUAUAAGAUCCGAAAAGAGAGGUUCACAUUGUACUUUGCUGUGAGAAUCUGUUCUAUCAGCCAGUUUAUUAAAUGUUGAGUUAUGUUACAUGAAGUGCCACAGUGUGCUAGGUAGAAUAAUGGCCCUCCAAAGAUGUCUAUGUCCUAAUCCCUGAAACCUGUGAAUAUGUUAAAUGGCAAAGGGGAAUUAAGGUUGCAGAUAGAAUUAAGAUUGCUACUCAGCUGACUUUAAAAUAAAGAGAUUAUCCUGGAUUAUCUGGAUGGGCCAAAUGUAAUCACAGUGGUCCUUAAAAAUGGUGUGUGCUGUAGGAUCUCCUUAUAGCUAAGUUCAUGGACUGCUGAGGGUCUUAAAUUGCCAUGAAUAUUAUCUUCAGUUAAAGCUUUAUUGAUAAAUUCCUUUCUAUAACAGGUAUAAUUUUAUUAGUUUUCUGUGAUAUUAGCUGUAGUGAAAGAAAGGUACUUUUAUUAAAUGCUUAUAUGCGUCAGGUGCUUUAUAUAUGUUAUAUUUAAUGUGCCAAAUUACCCAAGAAGUAGAUAUUAUUAAAUCCUUUAAUGGAUGAAGAAACAGGCACAGAGUGUUAACUUACCCAAGGUCAUGCUGCUAGUAACUGGUGACCCUGAAGUUUUAUUGCAUGCCCAUAAAGAGAAAAAUUCUGAGAUGUGACAUUUUCACUUUUGCAAGGCAUGCUCAUCGUUAUGGUGUCUAAUGCUAUAUUUUAAAAACUCUUGCCUUUAAAUUUGAAAGUUGAAGAUUAAUUUGUAUUUUACUGAAGCAGUAUGACACUGUAGCAAGACAUGCAGAAAAUAGAGGACAGAAAUUAACCAUAAAUCCAACAAAAUCUUGAUUAUAUUUUGGUAUAUUUCCUUUAAGUUCUUUUUUUCCUCUGCAUAAGUAUGUUGCAGUUUCCCACAGCUGUAAUCAUAGUCAUAUUAUACUUUAAAAAAUUUUACAUGAUGUAUUUUCUCCUGUGUCUUUAUAAUUAUCUUUAAUACGCAAUAGGUUUCCAAUUUUUUUUUUUUUUAUUGAAAGUCAUGCUGAAAGAACAGUUAGUAUCUGGGACAUGCCGUUCUCUUGGAGGGCAGGAACAGAGUGCAGACCACUCAACACUGUUAAAGCCUCUGCUUGGAGGUGGUCGGUGUCAUAUCUGCUCACAUUUCCCUUGGUCACAGUGUGUCAUAGGGCCAAAUUCAAAGUCAACUAAGUGGGGACACAUACUUCUCUCCCACGACUGACAGGAUGAGUAAUCCUAUUAUAGAAAGGGAGAAAUAAUUGGGAAUAAUAAUACCAUUUGCCACCUGGAGGGGAAUGAAAUGAUCAGAGGUAGAACAUAAAAAUAGAAAUAAGUGAAAGUGCCGAUACAGACAGGCUGGUCGGUUUUGAAUCUAGAUUCUGACCUUGAGCAGAGGCUGUCUUAGGUGUCUCCCCUGUGAAAUGGAAGGAUUAAAAGAAAUCAUGUAUCGAAAGCAUGCUGCACUUUGCCUGACUUGUGAUAGGCUGCCAGCAAAUGUUAGUUUUCUUUAAAGAUGUAGUUUUGCCAUGGUACUGAAUGAGCUGUUUUAGUGCCCGUUUGGAUAGAACUAGGUUUUCUUGGGUUUUAACUCAAAUAUACACAAUGCUGUGGAUUUUCUAGUCAUUAAAGAAAAGAUAGCCUAAUUUGUGAAUUUUUCACUUUAAGUCCCUUUAAAAAAGUGCAUCAUCACUGACAAGUUAAUUUAAAAUCCCUGGCCCCAUGUCUAAAGAUGUGGGAAUCAAUAUUUCCCAGGUGAUUAUAUGUUCUUUAUUACUUAAAGGGUGGUCCAGGGGCCAUCAGCAUCCCCAUCACCUGGGAGCUUGUUAGAAAUGCAGCAUCUUGGGCCCCACCUCAGACCUAUUGAAUCAGAUUCUACAUUUCAACAACAUGCCCAGGAGAUUCAUAUACAUUAAAAUCUGAACAGCAGUGAUAUACAUGAUCCUUAGAAAUGCUGUUUUUUAAAAAGAAGUUUUCUUUUUGAAUUAUUCUUUGCCUUUCAGUUUGACCGU